Molecule: ribosomal RNA, 253 nt
Filed under: uncultured bacterium
Lineage: Bacteria
Description: partial 16S ribosomal RNA
Rfam family: Bacterial small subunit ribosomal RNA
Source: RNAcentral
UACGGGGGGGGCAAGCGUUGUUCGGAAUUACUGGGCGUAAAGGGCUCGUAGGCGGCCAACUAAGUCGGAUGUGAAAUCCCCAGGCUCAACUUGGGAACUGCAUCCGAUACUGGAUGGCUUGAAUUCGGGAGAGGGAUGCAGAAUUCCAGGUGUAGCGGUGAAAUGCGUAGAUAUCGUAAGGAAGACCAGUGGCGAAGGCGAGUCUCUGGACAGUUACUGACACUGAGGCACGAAGGCCAGGGGAGCAAACGGG